Molecule: long non-coding RNA, 321 nt
Filed under: Homo sapiens (human)
Lineage: Eukaryota; Metazoa; Chordata; Mammalia; Primates; Hominidae
Description: HSALNT0028994
Source: RNAcentral
CUGAAAUCCUUCCACCAGCCAAGAGGAUUCCAAGCCCUAAUUAAGUGAUGCGGCAAGUGGUGGGAUCCAAUGCUGAAGAAAGGACCUUUUCUCUGGGGAGUGGAGAAGUUUGCUUCACAGCUGCAGCCUCAGACCCCAUGGUUCCUGAAAUGAGGAAAGCUGCCUUGUUCAAGGACCUCCCUGCCCUCAACCUUCUGUGGUGAAAUGAGGGACAUGGGGCAGAUGACCUCAGAGAUCCAGGCCAGCAGCUCCCUGCCCCCUACUGUGCCCCACCAGACUCUCUCUGCUAAGUCAGAAUCACAACUGGGAUUUCAAUUACCG